AUUAUUACAUCAUAGAGGACUGAAUGGCUGCUGACUGACAUGUUAAUGACAAGGUUAUGUCUGUUUUACGUGCUUGUGUGUGCGUGUGUGUGUGUGUGUGUGUGUGUGUGUGUGUGUGUGUGUUUGUAAAGUUGUUGUUGUUUUCUUUUGUGAAAUGGAGAUAGUGUUAGAGCCCUGACAUGGGUAACUUGUGACCGUAAGCUGACUACUAAUGAGUUCACCUUAUGAACACACACUAAAACUCUAAACGCCAUUUCUUUAACUCUCAGUGUGUGAUGCUUUCCAAACACACUGCACUCACUUGCUGUUUCUGUGUGAAAACACACACACCUAGUUCUUGUGUCCAUCCCUAGGGUUCGUCUGCGCUGUGUGUUACCAUGGCGUCCACUCAGGCCGCACGGCACUGGGUCUUACACACACACACACACACACACACACACACACGGACAGAGGGGCCACUAGCUGCUGCUGCUUCACAGUUUAACUGGACAGUAGUACGUACUUCCUGUCCGAGAUUCACGGUUGUUAGUCUGGACUAAAACACGUUAGGGAAUAUUACUCUCGUCUAAGACGGCGUCGAGAUUUACUCACCUAUUAGUCUCGUCUAAGACCGGUUUGAGCAUUACCCCUCUGUGACGCUGGCCCAAGACUCGUCAGUUAGUCCGGUCUAAGACACGUCAGUUAGUCCAGUCUAAGACACGAUACUCGUCAGUUAGUCCGGUCUAAGACACGUCAGUUAGUCUGGUCUAAGACACGAUACUCGUCAGUUAUUUGGUCUAAGACACGAUAGAGAUUUACUCGUCAGUUAGUCCGGUCUAAGACACGUUAGAGAUUUACUCGUCAGUUAGUCUGGUCUAAGGCACGAUAGAGAUUUAAUCGUCAGUUAGUCUGGCCUAAGACACGAUAGAGAUUUACUUGCAGUUAGUCCGGUCUAAGACACGAUAGAGAUUUACACGUCAGUUAGUCCGGUCUAAGACACGUCAGUUAGUCCGGUCUAAGACACGAUAGAGAUUUACUAGUCAGUUAGUUUGGUCUAAGACACGAUACUCGUCAGUUAGUCCGGUCUAAGACACGAUAGAGAUUUACUCGCAGUUAGUCCGGUCUAAGACACGAUAGAGAUUUACACGUCAGUUAGUCCGGUCUAAGACACGAUACUCGUCAGUUAGUCCGGUCUAAGACACGAUAGAGAUUUACUCGUCAGUUAGUCCGGUCUAAGACACGAUACUCGUCAGUUAGUCCGGUCUAAGACACGAUAGAAAUGUACACGUCAGUUAGUCCGAUCUAAGACACGAUA
Long non-coding RNA from Clupea harengus (Atlantic herring), 1294 nucleotides. Lineage: Eukaryota; Metazoa; Chordata; Actinopteri; Clupeiformes; Clupeidae. The record is from Ensembl.